Molecule: small RNA, 272 nt
Filed under: Octodon degus (degu)
Lineage: Eukaryota; Metazoa; Chordata; Mammalia; Rodentia; Octodontidae
Description: 7SK RNA (ENSODEG00000022957.1)
Rfam family: 7SK RNA
About the family: 7SK was discovered as an abundant small nuclear RNA in the mid-70s but a possible function has only recently been suggested. Two independent studies have found that 7SK RNA binds the CDK9/cyclin T complex (known as elongation factor P-TEFb).
Source: RNAcentral
UGAUGUGAAGGUGACCUGGGUCAGACAUCAGUCGUCCGCUUGAUCACCAAGGUUGAUUCGGCUGAUCUGACUGGCCAGGCAGGUGUCUCUUUCCUCCCCCACUGCUCUAUAUAUGUCCUUCCCACAGCUGCAUGCUCAGUCAAAGAGACUGACUUCCCCACAUAGAGGAUCAUUUCCUAGGUCAAGGAUACAAGUAACAGCGCCCUCCCUCCACUAGAAUUUCCAAACAAGCUUUCAAAAGAGUAGCUGGCAGAAUUUUUUUGCCACUCUGU